RNAcentral lists this ribosomal RNA (1420 nucleotides) under metagenome. RNAcentral's name for it is "bacterial LSU rRNA". It matches the Rfam family "Bacterial large subunit ribosomal RNA", at positions 1061 to 2454 of the family's 2925-position model. The record is from RNAcentral.
UUGUGGGAAAGGUUGUAUUGUCGCUCAGACAGCCAGGAGGUUGGCUUAGAAGCAGCCAUCCUUUAAAGAGUGCGUAAUAGCUCACUGGUCGAGCGAUGGUGCGCCGAAAAUAUAACGGGGCUCAAGUUUGCCACCGAAGCUAUGGACUCACCCGCAAGGGCUGAGUGGUAGAGGAGCAUUCUCUCAGCGGUGAAGGUUGACCGACAAGGACAGCUGGAGCGGAGAGAAGAGAUUAUGCAGGCAUAAGUAGCGAUUAAUGAUGUGAGAAUCAUCAUCCCCGUAAACCUAAGGUUUCCUGGCCUAUGUUCGUCAGGUCAGGGUGAGUCGGACCCUAAGCCGAGGCCGAGAGGCGUAGGCGAUGGAAAACAGGUCAACAUUCCUGUACCACUGUCAUAGCGUUAUCAGCGAAGGGGGGACGCAGAAGGGUAGGCACCGCCGGGUCCCUGGAAUACCCGGUCCAAGCCCGUAGGCGGGUCUCGUCGGCAAAUCCGCGGGGCCGUUAACGCCGAGAGGUGAUGGGGAGGCCGUAAGGCCAUAAACGGGCUGAUCCCAUGCUGCCGAGAAAAGCCUCGUAGCGAGUUAUGAUAGUGUCCAUACCGCAAUCCGACAUAGGUAGGUGGGUAGAAUAUACCAAGGGGCGUGAGAGAACACUUCCUAAGGAACUUUGCAAUUUAGCCCCGUAACUUCGGGAGAAGGGGUGCCACGCGUAGGUGAGAUUGUACAAAUUAAGCCGAACGUGGUUGCAAUAAAGUGGCUCUAGCGACUGUUUACCAAAAACACAGGACUCUGCGAACACGCAAGUGGACGUAUAGGGUCUGACGCCUGCCCGGUGCUGGAAGGUUAACCGGAGGAGUUAGCCGCAAGGCAACGCUCUGAAGGGAAGCCCCAGUAAACGGCGGCCGUAACUAUAACGGUCCUAAGGUAGCGAAAUUCCUUGUCAGGUAAGUUCCGACCUGCAUGAAUGGCGUAACGACUGGAGCGCUGUCUCGGGAAGUGACUCAGCGAAUUUGUUGUUCCGGUGAAGAAGCCGGGUGCCCGCAACUAGACGGAAAGACCCUGUGCACCCUUACUACAACUUGACAUUGGAUGUUGGAAUGCGCUGUGUAGGAUAGGUGGGAGCCUGUGAAGCCUGGCCGCUAGGUCGGGUGGAGGCAACGUUGAAAUACCACCCUGAACGUUCUGAUACUCUAACUCGGCUCUGUAAUCCAGAGCGAAGACAGUGUCUGGCGGGUAGUUUGACUGGGGCGGUCGCCUCCCAAAAAGUAACGGAGGCGUUCAAAGGUUCCCUCAGGCUGGUCGGUAAUCAGCCGUCGAGUGCAAAGGCAUAAGGGAGCUUGACUGCGAGAGUGACAGCUCGAGCGGAGACGAAAGUCGGACUUAGUGAUCCGGUGGUUCUGCGUGGAAGGGCCAUCGCUCAACG